Long non-coding RNA from Cyprinus carpio (common carp), 307 nucleotides. RefSeq lists it as uncharacterized. The transcript is spliced from 4 exons. The record is from RefSeq and is a predicted model, not a curated record. Lineage: Eukaryota; Metazoa; Chordata; Actinopteri; Cypriniformes; Cyprinidae.
CCCAACCGUCAAGCAGCUGAACGCUGACUCUCAAUGUGGUUUUCACUAUUGUUUUUUUAGAAAUGGUUUAGUGUCGUCAGAAAAAGUCCGUUAGCAUCUCCACUGUAAGGCUAACUACAAGAGAGUUUAGCUCCAACCCCAGUUAAGCAGAUCUGGGCAGCUGAUCAAGGAUCACCAGAAACUCUGCAGAACAUUGGUCCUCCAGCCCAGGACUGGACACCAGUGUUAGUGUCUGUCUCAGAAGCUGAAGAAAAGAGGCCACACCUCAGAGGAAAUAAGCGCUUCCUAAGUGUACGGAAAUACCCGG